AGAGAGAGAGAGAGAGAGAGAGAGAGAGAGAGAGAGAGAGAGAGAGAGAGAGAGAGAGAGAGAGAGAGAGAGAAUCGUAGCAGACGUGUCGAAAAAUAAGUUGAAAGAAAAUGGAAAUAGUACAAAUGUGAUAGAAAAGAGAAAUAAGACAACUCAGUGAAAGAAAAAGAAAAAAAAAGAAAAAGAAGAAAAAUUGA
This is a long non-coding RNA of Portunus trituberculatus (swimming crab), 197 nucleotides long. RefSeq lists it as uncharacterized. NCBI's taxonomy places the organism in Eukaryota, Metazoa, Arthropoda, Malacostraca, Decapoda, Portunidae. The record is from RefSeq and is a predicted model, not a curated record. The transcript is spliced from 2 exons.